CGCCCUUCGUCCCUCGAAUACCAACCCUUACCUUCCCCCCCAAGCUAAUAACUCCCCUUAGGUGCACGGGGGUGAAUGGAUUGGGCCCAGGCCCUGCAAGUUCGCGUGUUCCGCGCCAGGGACCCCGCCCCUCGCCCUUCCCAAAUUUCCUUUUUUUGUCCCCUUUUCCCUGUUUUGUUUCUGCGGAAGGAUCAUUAAUGAAUUUUGAAAGGCGAGGGCUUGAUGCUGGCGCGGAGACGCGGACGUGCACGGCCCUUGUCCUCAAUCCAAUUCAACCCCUGUGCACCUUAUGGGAGUUAUUAGCUGGCGGGAAUGUAAUGUUAGUAGUCGAGAGACGAAGGCUUACGGAUCGUCGGUGAACACUUCAACUUUAUUAUCAACCUUUGUUGUCGUGUAGAAUGCAAUGCUCCUCGUGGGCGAAAUGAAAUACAACUUUCAACAACGGAUCUCUUGGCUCUCGCAUCGAUGAAGAACGCAGCGAAAUGCGAUAAGUAAUGUGAAUUGCAGAAUUCAGUGAAUCAUCGAAUCUUUGAACGCACCUUGCGCCCCUUGGUAUUCCGAGGGGCAUGCCUGUUUGAGUGUCAUGUUAAUCUCAAUUCCCUUGUUUUCUUAACUCGGGCGUUGGACUUGGAAGUUGCUGGCCCCUUUUGCCGGUCGGCUCUUCUUAAAUGUAUUAGCUGGGCUUUGGCUCGCGUUGAACGGUGUAAUAGUAAUCUUACAUUCGCCUGAGCGCUUGCCUGACGAGUCUGCUUCUAAUCGUCUUCGGACAAGGUCUUUGUUACCUUCACUUGACACCUGACCUCAAAUCAGGUAGGAUUACCCGCUGAACUUAA
RNAcentral lists this ribosomal RNA (833 nucleotides) under Phellinus sp. 1 DE-2016. RNAcentral's name for it is "eukaryotic LSU rRNA". The stretch from base 431 to 584 matches the Rfam family "5.8S ribosomal RNA". Lineage: Eukaryota; Fungi; Basidiomycota; Agaricomycetes; Hymenochaetales; Hymenochaetaceae. The record is from RNAcentral.